RNAcentral lists this ribosomal RNA (522 nucleotides) under uncultured bacterium. RNAcentral's name for it is "bacterial SSU rRNA". It matches the Rfam family "Bacterial small subunit ribosomal RNA", at positions 777 to 1297 of the family's 1533-position model. The record is from RNAcentral.
AAUAGAUACCCUGGUAGUCCACGCCGUAAACGAUGAGUGCUAAGUGUUAAAGGGUUUCCGCCCUUUAGUGCUGCAGCUAACGCAUUAAGCACUCCGCCUGGGGAGUACGGCCGCAAGGCUGAAACUCAAAGGAAUUGACGGGGGCCCGCACAAGCGGUGGAGCAUGUGGUUUAAUUCGAAGCAACGCGAAGAACCUUACCAGGUCUUGACAUCCUCUGACACUCCUAGAGAUAGGACUUUUCCCUUCGGGGAACAGAGUGACAGGUGGUGCAUGGUUGUCGUCAGCUCGUGUCGUGAGAUGUUGGGUUAAGUCCCGCAACGAGCGCAACCCUUGAUCUUAGUUGCCAGCAUUCAGUUGGGCACUCUAAGGUGACUGCCGGUGACAAACCGGAGGAAGGUGGGGAUGACGUCAAAUCAUCAUGCCCCUUAUGACCUGGGCUACACACGUGCUACAAUGGAUGGUACAAAGGGCUGCAAGACCGCGAGGUUUAGCCAAUCCCAUAAAACCAUUCUCAGUUCGGA